Zonotrichia albicollis (white-throated sparrow) is the source of this 1599-nucleotide long non-coding RNA. RefSeq lists it as uncharacterized. Lineage: Eukaryota; Metazoa; Chordata; Aves; Passeriformes; Passerellidae. The record is from RefSeq and is a predicted model, not a curated record.
UCUUCUAUUUUAUCCUUUGCUGCUGCUCCCCCUAGACUUCUUCAGCCCUCCUAUCCCACUGCAAGAUCUCCACAUGACGAGCUGUUAGCCUCAAUAGUGUUAUUCCCACUUGUUCAGGUUGGUUACCUACUAGUAUCAUUCCUCAGCAGAAGCAUCUGGCUUUCUCUGUUUGCUGGGAAGUAAGACAAAUACUGUCUGGCAAAGCUGCUUUCACAUUAGCUUAGCAGGAAUGUAUGCAAAAGGGAAUUCCCAAAGUUGUUUGUUUGUUUUUUUCUCUUAGUGUUUUGGUUUUCAUCUAUCUCUUUCUUUCUCUCUCUGAAAGAACAAAAAAAUAAAAGGCACAUAUUCUGCUACAGGUCAUGGAGACAACAGACCUCCUUGGGUGUUUGCAGAGUUCUAGCUGGAAUAGUAGAAAGUUUCCAACUGCAAAACUUGACUAAGGAGCAGACUGACUUGCCUUACAGAGCUCUGUACUUCUCCAAGUAGGCUGCUGCUAAACCCUGAACCAGAUCUUCACAGUGUAGGCAGAGCAGCUGUGUUGGCUUACACAGAAUAAAUGGCUUCAGGCCAUACAGUGUCAAACUAAGUAUUCUCACUCCUCUUCAGUUUUAGACAAUGAAAUUAAGAAACAGCUUUCCUCAAAUACGGAUCAAAAUGCUAAAAUACCUUAAGCAAACCUGAAAAAGUGCUGGCUUGUCAACCUUGGCUUUAGGCACAGAACUCAUCACAGACUUUGCAACAUUUUCUUUAGUGACUAAGGUAUCUGACAUUGAGAUAUUUGACAAUGGCAUCUGGCUUUUAAAUCAGAAUCCUUUCCUUUUAAACAAGCCACACGGCUGCAGUGAGGUCCCAGGUUCAGUGCUGCUCUCUCUGCUUCCUUACAGUGCACAUCUUCACCCACAUGCUGUGAAUCAAAAGCCAGAGUCUGCAUUCAACACCAAUUAGCCAUUUCUGCAGAGCUUUGCUGCCAGGCAACAUGGCACAGUGGGGUGCCUGCAAUUAGAAGUGGCAAAGGGAAUUCUGCAGCAGACAAGAUGGCUGCUGUGCUAAUGGUGCAAGCACUGAGUUUCAAAAAGUACCAUCAGUCGAACUGACAAGAAUCUGGAGCUGACUAGAGUUAACAUUGGGAAUGCUGGAGCUGCAGCUUAGAAAUUAACUGUGUCUUUUGGCAAGGCCCACAGAAUAUGUAGGAGAUGGACCGCAGUACUGAAAGCAGAGAGCCUAAUUAUAACAUGAGCAAAAGAAAACAAAGUUACCUCAAGAGCUCCAAAAGAAAGCUGUUCCUCAACCAAUAAACUGCUGACAAGAUGCCAUAGAUCCAGCAAUGACAACAUGUGCUGCAAUCUUCAGGCAUUCUGAGUGGAAGGCACUCAGCACAGGAGUAUAACUCAAAGUAACUGUACACUUAUUUCUGAAAGUAUUUUGACAUUUGCAGCCAACUGCAGUCUAACAGACUGGGCUAACAGAAACAGAACUGUUCUUUUGCAUAUGGUAAGGACUCAUUGUUUAGAAGCAAUCUGGUGCCUGUAAUGCAGUUUUGUGACAGCUCCACACAGCGUUACCACCAGACAGUGUUUGGAUGGCAGGAGCAAGCUCUGU